GUCUCUACCAUCCAAAACAACCUCCAGUGCCACCUGCGACCACCACCACACACCCUAAUCCGACCACUUCACUUGAAAACAAGCGUCUGAUGUACCACCAGACCUGGCACCUCCACUCGCCGGACCACCAACAUCGAUUCCUCUAGCGACAUCGAAGAUAUAGGAUUCUGAAGAUGUCGGAUCGUUGUCAUCGGAUAGAUCUGAGCCGAAACAGCUUAAUGUGAUCUGAAAACAGGUUCCGUCAGUGACGGUUGUUCUCCGGCUCUCUGUUCACUCAUUUUCGAUUGGGGGUAUGUGAAAGUAUGAUUGAAGUUAAAUCUGAGUGAUUUGUGUGUUGAUUUAGAAAUCUUCAUUUAUUGGAAGUAAACAAAAGCUUCAAGAAAUCUUCAAUUUUUAGAAAUUUGCAAUUUUUAGAAAUCUUCAUUUUUUUUUCCGUUGUCUUCUUGUAAAGCAUUUAAAUUUGACACCUUACUUUUUUGGAGUUUUAGUUAGUGUUGGUGAUGAAUAAAAUUGGUGGAAUUAUCAAAGAAAUUGAUUUGAUUGUGAUCGAUUAGUGGGGAAAUUGAUCUGAUUAUGAUGAAUUUUGAACCUGAUUGUAAGCUUUUUUAGAGAGAGAGAGAGAGAGAGAGGGGGAGAGAGGGUAUUUAUAUUUGUUUUUAUAAUAAGUUAUUAAAUACUAUAAAUAAUUAAGUAAAAAGAUUAAAUUGCCCUUAUAUGAAUAGAUUUGACUGAAAAAUUUAAUCUGGUUAAUGCUAAAGGACGUAGUGUAUAAUGAGUUUUACAAAUAAAGGAUUGUGACUGUAAUUAUUGAAGUUAAAGGUCAUCCAUUGCAAUCUGAUACAAACAUAAAGGACGAAAAGUAUAAUUUACCCGAUAUUUAUUGUGUUGUGCUUGGUUCGGUUAUUAUCCUUGACCGAAGUUGAAACCAAAGUCAUCGGUUAGUCUAUUUUAUUAACCAAUUGGUUUUCAGUUAAUCAUUUCGGUUUAUUCGGUUAGAUUGUUGGUUUUUUGUUUGUUUCAUUUAAUUUUAGUUAAUAUCAAAAACCAAACUUUGGCUAAAACUUUUGCUUAGAAAUAUAUUAAAUUGAGGUAUAAAUACAUGAAAUAGAAGUAUAAAAAUAUGAAAUGGAGAUAUAACAUAUGAAAUAUAUGAACCAAAGGUAUAAA
Molecule: long non-coding RNA, 1167 nt
Filed under: Helianthus annuus (common sunflower)
Lineage: Eukaryota; Viridiplantae; Streptophyta; Magnoliopsida; Asterales; Asteraceae
Description: hypothetical non coding rna
Source: RNAcentral